GAGGCUGGGCGGUGGCUGUUAGGCCCUCCUUCCUCUCCCUGGGUGUCCAUUCUCACUUGUUUUAUGUCCCCUCAGCAUUUGGAGAGUUUCUGAGAGAGUGUAUCACACGGCCUUUGGAGUCAGACACGCCGGGGUUGGAGUCCUGCCACGCACCGCACUACCUGGGAAGCUGGGCAAGUCCUUCAACCUCUCUCAGCUUCACUCAGUUCGCUCCUCUAUAAAUGAUAGUCAUGAUACUUACCUCACACGGUCCUGGGAGACCGUAUAUAUAACCUGCUUGGCACGUACUGUCUCUUCGGACCCUGCUUUCCUCCCUCUUUGUUCCUGAUGCAUCUGGUCAUUGGUGCCUUCUACUUUGGUCCUAUCGUAUUCAGUGUGACCAGCCCCCACCUGGAGAGUUCACCAUGGUGACCACAAGUCAGACCGGCAGCGUUAUUGUCUACCCACAGGACCAGAGGAAGACCUCAAGGAUCCACCCACUCCAGUCAGACAAGCUGGAGAUAUGUGAAGUCUGAAGGAUGAUAAGGUUAUUCAAACGAUCUGGAAAGGAACUGAUAGAUUAUCAGUAUAUAUCCAAGCCCUGGAUAUUGUUUAAAAAGCAAACAAAAACCUUUUUUUUCUUUUGCUGGAAUUUCUGAUGGUACAGUACACAAGUCCCAAUGUGUAACCUAACCAAAAAUAGCUAUACAUUGCUUAGAAAUUUACAUAGCUCAACCGCUGACCUUGUAGAGUUAGG
This 736-nucleotide long non-coding RNA is filed under the name Equus caballus (horse). Its description in RNAcentral is "lncRNA (ENSECAG00000055537.1)". The record is from RNAcentral. Lineage: Eukaryota; Metazoa; Chordata; Mammalia; Perissodactyla; Equidae.